AUUGAACGCUGGCGGCAGGCUUAACACAUGCAAGUCGAGCGGGGAAAGGUAGCUUGCUACUUAACCUAGCGGCGGACGGGUGAGUAAUGCUUAGGAAUCUGCCUAUUAGUGGGGGACAACAUCUCGAAAGGGAUGCUAAUACCGCAUACGUCCUACGGGAGAAAGCAGGGGACCUUCGGGCCUUGCGCUAAUAGAUGAGCCUAAGUCGGAUUAGCUUGUUGGUGGGGUAAAGGCCUACCAAGGCGACGAUCUGUAGCGGGUCUGAGAGGAUGAUCCGCCACACUGGGACUGAGACACGGCCCAGACUCCUACGGGAGGCAGCAGUGGGGAAUAUUGGACAAUGGGGGGAACCCUGAUCCAGCCAUGCCGCGUGUGUGAAGAAGGCCUUUUGGUUGUAUAGCACUUUAAGCGAGGAGGAGGCUACCGAGAUUAAUACUCUUGGAUAGUGGACGUUACUCGCAGAAUAAGCACCGGCUAACUCUGUGCCAGCCGCCGCCGUAA
This 501-nucleotide ribosomal RNA is filed under the name uncultured bacterium. RNAcentral describes it as "partial 16S ribosomal RNA". It matches the Rfam family "Bacterial small subunit ribosomal RNA", at positions 30 to 523 of the family's 1533-position model. The record is from RNAcentral.